RNAcentral lists this transfer RNA (86 nucleotides) under Candidatus Bathyarchaeota archaeon. Its description in RNAcentral is "tRNA-Ser". It matches the Rfam family "tRNA". From Rfam's summary of the family: Transfer RNA (tRNA) molecules are approximately 80 nucleotides in length. Their secondary structure includes four short double-helical elements and three loops (D, anti-codon, and T loops). The record is from RNAcentral. Lineage: Archaea; Thermoproteati; Candidatus Bathyarchaeota.
GCCGCGGUGCCAGAGCUGGUCAAAUGGGCCGGACUCGAGAUCCGGUGGCCCUCGGGGCCUCAGGGGUUCGAAUCCCCUCCGCGGCG